AUCAAUUUAGAUCUUCUCCUUUUAUAUGUGACCCCAUAGGUUUAAUUCUAUUUGGUAGUGAGACAUACUAUAAUAUCUAUCAUAGGUAUCACUGAAAUCUUUUUCAGUGGGUCGAAAUAGUUUCAUUCUGACGUAACAAGGAUCAUUGAUCCAAAACGAUCCUAUUGAGUUCUCACAAUUCAUCAGUGCUAUCUAACAAUAUAUAAUGGCAACCC
RNAcentral lists this long non-coding RNA (215 nucleotides) under Elaeis guineensis (African oil palm). Its description in RNAcentral is "long non-coding RNA (EGUI_LNC061036)". Lineage: Eukaryota; Viridiplantae; Streptophyta; Magnoliopsida; Arecales; Arecaceae. The record is from RNAcentral.